Long non-coding RNA from Ostrea edulis (European flat oyster), 1123 nucleotides. RefSeq lists it as uncharacterized. The record is from RefSeq and is a predicted model, not a curated record. The transcript has 2 exons. NCBI's taxonomy places the organism in Eukaryota, Metazoa, Mollusca, Bivalvia, Ostreida, Ostreidae.
GGCUUUUACCUGAUACAGACCCCUCACCACUAAAUGGCAUAGAGCGCCUGCGCAGUUCAAUUUUAGACACUUCACGUGACGUCUCGAAGGGAUCGAAAACAACCUGCCAGUCUUAUUUAAUUUGGUCAGAAUGACACAAGUUUUGUUGUACUCUUUCCAUACAUUGUAUAAAGUCGAUCAAAAUUCUUCUGUAAUACCCGACCAACACCUGAAUUUACGACAGACCUCAAGGGUCAAGUACCAUGGCAGGAAACAUUAGGGGGAGACCGUGCUGAAACCUGGAGUGCUAGCUCUGACUGUUGAUUUCACUUCAGAGGAGAAAAGAGAUACAACUUUCACGCCUUUGUCCCUCAUGGAAAACAAACACAAAUUUAUUGAUAUAUUGCCAAUAAAAGCGCAGUGUUAUACAAGGAGGUAGAACCCGACAAUCACCAUCAACAGCACACACAUGGCUACCCAACAACCGCCAUCAACAGCACACAAAGGGCUACCAGGAAUCAGAACCCGACAACCAGAUGACUUCACAAUUUAUACGGGUUGAAUUAGGUCCUUAUGAUAUAUCGCUCAUAGUAAACAUGUAUGUCACAUUGUGGAUACUGAUUAUUUGUAAAUACACAUGUAUACCUUUCUUGACCUAAAGAUUCUGGAAUAGGACCAAGACGCAGUAACCGCUAUCAUGCCAUAAAAAACCUGUGACAUGUAUGAAUAUGUUGCAAACAUUGUACAAUUAUUGACAUUGAUCUAUCUUAAAGGUAGCAAAAGUAUCUUUUUGACCGAGAACAUGUCUAUAAUUGUUUUGUUAUAUGAUAGAAUUAAUUAAAACAUCGAAACCGACUACUAGACCUUACAAAACGAUACAUGACGGCCAUCUUUGUUUACACCUAGAGUGCAAGACUUAGUCGAAAGUAAUUAGAGAAGUUAGUCUUAUGUAUCAUAUGUUUAAAUAAUUCAAAGCAUCAGAAUCGGCUAUUAGUGUUUACCAAACAAUACCUGAUCGGCCAUCGUUGUUUACAUCUAUAGUGCAAGACCAGGUCGAGAGUGAUUAGAGACGCCGUUUUUGUUUGUCAUAUGAAUGAAUAAUUCACAACAUCAAAACCUGCUAUUAAAGCUUACCAAACAAUAA